UACUUCCCUCUAAGGAAAACUGUGUUUCUGAGACACAGCAGACCAUGCCGAAUCCCCUCAGUCCUCUCCCAGUCACUGCUUCCCCAUCCACACGUGGAGAUGAGGAGGAGACCUUCCUGCUGGCUGAGGACUCUGUAACUCCACUGAGUUUGUUCACAUGAACAGCUAAGACUGCUGAAAGACAAGAUGAAUAUAGCUGCAUUCAAGACCCUUCUCAAGGCAUCUCUACACAAAGCAGCGAGAUAUUUCCUCAAGUAUGAAUGCAAGACAUGCCAUUUUCUGCAGCAUAAGCAGAGGAUUCUGCAGCAGAAUCAACUCCCACAUGCAGGGCUGGUUUCUAUCCCUUGACAGCUUGACAAGGGUGGGUACGCGUUUUUGUCCGAGGACUGCACUUGACUCCGUGGGCCAGAUAAAUACUUGGGAAAGAAAAGGAAACUUUGUAGUGUCACCGCACCCCAUUUCCACAGAAAGCUAAGCUGCCAAGCAAAGCUCUCUUAGAAACUUUGCGCAGAGAAUAUAAAAGGGAAAAAAAUAAAUCAGUAUGUUUU
This is a long non-coding RNA of Falco peregrinus (peregrine falcon), 548 nucleotides long. RefSeq lists it as uncharacterized. The transcript is spliced from 3 exons. NCBI's taxonomy places the organism in Eukaryota, Metazoa, Chordata, Aves, Falconiformes, Falconidae. The record is from RefSeq and is a predicted model, not a curated record.